CCCAGACUCCUACGGGAGGCAGCAGUGGGGAAUAUUGCACAAUGGGCGAAAGCCUGAUGCAGCAACGCCGCGUGAAGGAAGAAGGGUUUCGGCUCGUAAACUUCUAUCAACAGGGACGAAAGAAAUGACGGUACCUGAAUAAGAAGCCCCGGCUAACUACGUGCCAGCAGCCGCGGUAAUACGUAGGGGGCAAGCGUUAUCCGGAUUUACUGGGUGUAAAGGGAGCGUAGACGGCGAAGAAAGUCUGGAGUGAAAGCCCGCGGCUUAACCGCGGAACUGCUUUGGAAACUUUUUGGCUGGAGUACCGGAGAGGUAAGCGGAAUUCCUAGUGUAGCGGUGAAAUGCGUAGAUAUUAGGAGGAACACCAGUGGCGAAGGCGGCUUACUGGACGGUAACUGACGUUGAGGCUCGAAAGCGUGGGGAGCAAACAGGAUUAGAUACCCGCGUAC
RNAcentral lists this ribosomal RNA (449 nucleotides) under uncultured bacterium. Its description in RNAcentral is "bacterial SSU rRNA". It matches the Rfam family "Bacterial small subunit ribosomal RNA", at positions 330 to 793 of the family's 1533-position model. The record is from RNAcentral.